RNAcentral lists this non-coding RNA (158 nucleotides) under marine eukaryotic metagenome. The record is from RNAcentral.
UUUUGUUGAUCUCAAUGAAAAGGGAAAUGGGUGUAAAUCCCAUACUGUUCCCGCAGCUGUAAUCCGGUUUAAUUUCGAGACGAUAUCAAACCACUGUUGCUUUGCAAUGGGAAGGUUGUUUCGGAAAAGGAGAGUCAGAAGACCUGCCAAGUCAAUUU